Molecule: transfer RNA, 73 nt
Filed under: Stegodyphus mimosarum
Lineage: Eukaryota; Metazoa; Arthropoda; Arachnida; Araneae; Eresidae
Description: tRNA-Thr for anticodon CGU
Rfam family: tRNA
About the family: Transfer RNA (tRNA) molecules are approximately 80 nucleotides in length.
Source: RNAcentral
GCCUUCGUGGUGUAGUGGUCAGCACGCUGGAUGCGUAUUCCAGAGGUCCAUGGUUCAAACCCAGGCGAGGGCG